UGCCGAAUCAACUAGCCC
Molecule: small nuclear RNA, 18 nt
Filed under: Arabidopsis thaliana (thale cress)
Lineage: Eukaryota; Viridiplantae; Streptophyta; Magnoliopsida; Brassicales; Brassicaceae
Description: snRNA_11524
Source: RNAcentral